GCAGCCUGAUCCAGCCAUGCCGCGUGAUUGAUAGAAGGCCUUAGGGUUGUAAACGAUCUUUCAGAUGGGAAGAUAAUGACGGUACCUUCAGAAGAAGGUCCGGCUAACUCCGUGCCAGCAGCCGCGGUAAUACGGAGGGAGCUAGCGUUGUUCGGAAUUACUGGGCGUAAAGCGUACGUAGGCGGACUAUUAAGUCAGAGGUGAAAUCCCAGGGCUCAACCCUGGAACUGCCUUUGAUACUGGUAGUCUAGAGGUCGAGAGAGGUGAGUGGAAUUCCGAGUGUAGAGGUGAAAUUCGUAGAUAUUCGGAGGAACACCAGUGGCGAAGGCGGCUCACUGGCUCGAUACUGACGCUGAGGUACGAAAGUGUGGGUAGCAAACAGGAUUAGAUACCCUGGUAGUCCACACCGUAAACGAUGAAUGCUAGUCGUCAGGGGACUUGUCCUUUGGUGACGCAGCUAACGCAUUAAGCAUUCCGCCUGGGGAGUACGGUCGCAAGAUUAAAACUCAAAGGAAUUGACGGAGG
Molecule: ribosomal RNA, 525 nt
Filed under: uncultured Paracoccaceae bacterium
Lineage: Bacteria; Pseudomonadati; Pseudomonadota; Alphaproteobacteria; Rhodobacterales; Paracoccaceae
Description: bacterial SSU rRNA
Rfam family: Bacterial small subunit ribosomal RNA
Source: RNAcentral